CCUACGGGAGGCAGCAGUGGGGAAUUUUGGACAAUGGGCGCAAGCCUGAUCCAGCAAUGCCGCGUGAGUGAAGAAGGUCUUCGGGUUGUAAAGCUCUUUUGUCAGGGAAGAAACGGUGGGAGCUAAUAUCUCCCACUAAUGACGGUACCUGAAGAAUAAGCACCGGCUAACUACGUGCCAGCAGCCGCGGUAAUACGUAGGGUGCAAGCGUUAAUCGGAAUUACUGGGCGUAAAGCGUGCGCAGGCGGUUUUGUAAGUCUGUCGUGAAAGCCCCGGGCUCAACCUGGGAAUUGCGAUGGAGACUGCAAGGCUUGAAUCUGGCAGAGGGGGGUAGAAUUCCACGUGUAGCAGUGAAAUGCGUAGAGAUGUGGAGGAACACCGAUGGCGAAGGCAGCCCCCUGGGUCAAGAUUGACGCUCAUGCACGAAAGCGUGGGGAGCAAACAGGAUUAGAUACCCUGGUAGUCCACGCCCUAAACGAUGUCUACUAGUUGUCGGGUUUUAAUUAACUUGGUAACGCAGCUAACGCGUGAAGUAGACCGCCUGGGGAGUACGGUCGCAAGAUUAAAACGUCAAAGGAAUUGACGGCNGAGAGNGCGACGACGACGACGAGGAGGAGG
RNAcentral lists this ribosomal RNA (618 nucleotides) under uncultured bacterium. Its description in RNAcentral is "bacterial SSU rRNA". It matches the Rfam family "Bacterial small subunit ribosomal RNA", at positions 338 to 944 of the family's 1533-position model. The record is from RNAcentral.